This 253-nucleotide ribosomal RNA is filed under the name uncultured bacterium. RNAcentral describes it as "partial 16S ribosomal RNA". It matches the Rfam family "Bacterial small subunit ribosomal RNA", at positions 524 to 776 of the family's 1533-position model. The record is from RNAcentral.
UACGUAGGGUGCGAGCGUUGUCCGGAAUUACUGGGCGUAAAGCGCGCGUAGGCGGCUUUGCAAGUCGGGUGUGAAAUCCCCAGGCUUAACCUGGGAACUGCAUUCGAGACUGCAUUGCUAGAGUAUGGGAGAGGGAAGUGGAAUUUCCGGUGUAGCGGUGAAAUGCGCAGAUAUCAGGAGGAACACCAAUGGCGAAGGCAGCUCGCUGGGACGUGACUGACGCUGAGACGCGAAAGCGUGGGGAGCAAACAGG